Molecule: ribosomal RNA, 410 nt
Filed under: Staphylococcus aureus
Lineage: Bacteria; Bacillati; Bacillota; Bacilli; Caryophanales; Staphylococcaceae
Description: partial 23S ribosomal RNA
Rfam family: Bacterial large subunit ribosomal RNA
Source: RNAcentral
CAAGAGUUCACAUCGACGGGGAGGUUUGGCACCUCGAUGUCGGCUCAUCGCAUCCUGGGGCUGUAGUCGGUCCCAAGGGUUGGGCUGUUCGCCCAUUAAAGCGGUACGCGAGCUGGGUUCAGAACGUCGUGAGACAGUUCGGUCCCUAUCCGUCGUGGGCGUAGGAAAUUUGAGAGGAGCUGUCCUUAGUACGAGAGGACCGGGAUGGACAUACCUCUGGUGUACCAGUUGUCGUGCCAACGGCAUAGCUGGGUAGCUAUGUGUGGACGGGAUAAGUGCUGAAAGCAUCUAAGCAUGAAGCCCCCCUCAAGAUGAGAUUUCCCAACUUCGGUUAUAAGAUCCCUCAAAGAUGAUGAGGUUAAUAGGUUCGAGGUGGAAGCAUGGUGACAUGUGGAGCUGACGAAUACUAA